GAUGAACGCUGGCGGCGUGCUUAACACAUGCAAGUCGAGCGAAGCGGCUGAAUUGAUUCUUCGGAUGAUUUUCAGUUGACUGAGCGGCGGACGGGUGAGUAACGCGUGGGUGACCUGCCCCAUACCGGGGGAUAACAGCUGGAAACGGCUGCUAAUACCGCAUAAGCGCACAGAGCUGCAUGGCUCGGUGUGAAAAACUCCGGUGGUAUGGGAUGGGCCCGCGUCUGAUUAGGCAGUUGGCGGGGUAACGGCCCACCAAACCGACGAUCAGUAGCCGGCCUGAGAGGGCGACCGGCCACAUUGGGACUGAGACACGGCCCAAACUCCUACGGGAGGCAGCAGUGGGGAAUAUUGCACAAUGGGGGAAACCCUGAUGCAGCGACGCCGCGUGAGCGAAGAGGUAUUUCGGUAUGUAAAGCUCUAUCAGCAGGGAAGAUAAUGACGGUACCUGACUAA
RNAcentral lists this ribosomal RNA (456 nucleotides) under uncultured bacterium. Its description in RNAcentral is "bacterial SSU rRNA". It matches the Rfam family "Bacterial small subunit ribosomal RNA", at positions 28 to 486 of the family's 1533-position model. The record is from RNAcentral.